GAGUUUGAUCGUGGCUCAGAUUGAACGCUGGCGGCAUGCCUUACACAUGCAAGUCGAACGGCAGCACGGGAGCUUGCUCCUGGUGGCGAGUGGCGAACGGGUGAGUAAUGCAUCGGAACGUAUCCUGGAGUGGGGGAUAACGUAGCGAAAGUUACGCUAAUACCGCAUAUUCUGUGAGCAGGAAAGCGGGGGGACCUUCGGGGCCUCGCGCUCUUGGAGCGGCCGAUGUCGGAUUAGCUAGUUGGUGAGGUAAAGGCUCACCAAGGCGACGAUCCGUAGCAGGUCUGAGAGGAUGAUCUGCCACACUGGAACUGAGACACGGUCCAGACUCCUACGGAGGCAGCAGUGGGGAAUUUUGGACAAUGGGGGCAACCCUGAUCCAGCCAUGCGCGUGAGUGAAGAA
RNAcentral lists this ribosomal RNA (403 nucleotides) under bacterium enrichment culture clone ALO1_GLFRUDD03F67CU. RNAcentral describes it as "bacterial SSU rRNA". It matches the Rfam family "Bacterial small subunit ribosomal RNA", at positions 9 to 412 of the family's 1533-position model. The record is from RNAcentral.